GGGUCUUGGGGAGUGGAUGUAGGUGCUGGGGUGCACCGAACCACUAUAUAUCUUUGUGUUUGUGAUGCCUUAUUUCUUGCGUUUCAUGCCUUACAUACAUACUUGACUUUGUAAUAUUUCUAGCUUUAUUUCCUAAUUGAUUAUAAGAGAUUGUUUAGAACUUGUUUAGCUUUCACUCUAUUCUUACAAUUCACAUAGAUUAAAUUGAUCAUACAACUAUAAGUUAAUUUAGGAUCAAUUGCGUCCUAAAGCCAUAAUAUAAUUGCUCUAGCUUAGUUUGUCACUGCAUUACUUAUAAUUACCUAGAGCUUAAGUAAGUAACAUCUUAUCAUUCCGCUACAUUCAAUUUAAAGUAAAAAAUUAGGAAACACAAUUUUUAGAAAACCCAAUUCACCCCCCCUCUUGGGUUGUCAUCUUGGGCAACAAGUGGUAUCAGAGCAGGUGCUCUUCUAUUAAUUAUAGUCUUAACUGACUAGAGCUAAAGAUUAUGACAACCCCACAUAACAUAUUAUUUGCCGAGGGACUUUCCAUAAACAGACCUCCG
This 544-nucleotide long non-coding RNA is filed under the name Phoenix dactylifera (date palm). RNAcentral describes it as "long non-coding RNA (PDAC_LNC022083)". The record is from RNAcentral. Lineage: Eukaryota; Viridiplantae; Streptophyta; Magnoliopsida; Arecales; Arecaceae.